RNAcentral lists this ribosomal RNA (587 nucleotides) under uncultured bacterium. RNAcentral's name for it is "partial 16S ribosomal RNA". It matches the Rfam family "Bacterial small subunit ribosomal RNA", at positions 356 to 1375 of the family's 1533-position model. The record is from RNAcentral.
UGGGGAAUUUGGACAAUGGGCGAAAGCCUGAUCCAGCAAUGCCGCGUGUGUGAAGAAGGCCUUCGGGUUGUAAAGCACUUUUGUCCGGAAAGAAAUCCUUGGCUCUAAUACAGUCGGGGGAUGACGGUACCGGAAGAAUAAGCACCGGCUAACUACGUGCCAGCAGCCGCGGUAAUACGUAGGGUGCAAGCGUUAAUCGGAAUUACUGGGCGUAAAGCGUGCGCAGGCGGUUUGCUAAGACCGAUGUGAAAUCCCCGGGCUCAACCUGGGAACUGCAUUGGUGACUGGCAGGCUAGAGUAUGGCAGAGGGGGGUAGAAUUCCACGUGUAGCAGUGAAAUGCGUAGAGAUGUGGAGGAAUACCGAUGGCGAAGGCAGCCCCCUGGGCAAUACUGACGCUCAUGCACGAAAAGCGUGGGGAGCAAAACAGGAUUAGAUACCCUGGUAGUCCACGCCCUAAAACGAUGUCAACUAGUUGUUGGGGAUUCAUUUCCUUAGUAACGUAGCUAACGCGUGAAGUUGACCGCCUGGGGAGUACGGUCGCAAGAUUAAAAACUCAAAGGAAUUGACGGGGUCAUAGCUGUUUCCU